RNAcentral lists this ribosomal RNA (1453 nucleotides) under metagenome. Its description in RNAcentral is "bacterial SSU rRNA". It matches the Rfam family "Bacterial small subunit ribosomal RNA". The record is from RNAcentral.
AGGAUUAACGCUAGCGACGUGCCUAAGGUAUGCAAGUCGAACGAUGAAAUUUGAGUAGCAAUACAAGAAUUUCGUAGUGGCAGACGGCUGAGUAACACGUGGGAAUUUCCCCCAAACUCGAGCAUAGCUCACCGAAAGGUGGGGUAAUUCUCGAUAGUCUCGCAAGAGUAAAGCUUCGGCGGUUUGGGAUGAGCCCGCGUCCUAUCAGGUUGUUGGUGAGGUAAUGGCUUACCAAGCCUAUAACGGGUAGCUGGUCUGAGAGGAUGGCCAGCCAGACUGGGACUGAGAUACGGCCCAGACUCCUACGGGAGGCAGCAACUAGGAAUUAUGCACAAUGGACGUAAGUCUGAUGCUGCGACGUCGCGUGGAGGAUGAAGGUCUUCGGAUCGUAAACUCCUUUUAUUGGGGAACAAAUUUUGAGGGUACCCAAUGAAUAAGUGCCUGCUAACCACGUGCCAGAAGCAUCGGUAAUACGUGGGACACAAGCGUUAUCCGGAUUUACUGGGCGUAAAGAGAUGCGUAGGUGUCUUGAUAAGUUCUGUGUUAAAUCCCAAUGCUCAACAUUGGAAUCGCAUGGAAAACUAUCAAGAUUGAGCCAAAUAGAGGAAAGGGGAAUUCCUGGUGGAGCGGUUAAAUGCGUUGAUAUCAGGAGGAAUACCAAUGGCGAAGGCACCUUUCUGGAUUUGUGCUGACACUAAGGCUCGAAAGCGUGGGGAGCAAAACGGAUUAGAUACCCGUGUAGUCCACGCUGUAAACAAUCCUCGUUAGAUUUCUGUCUUAGCUCUUUAGAUUUUUCCUUCGGGAAAGGUUUUGGGGCCUGAUGGGAGUCGCAGCUAACGCGUUAAACGAGGCGCCUGGGAAGUACGGCCGCAAGGCUAAAACCCAAAGGAAUUGACGGGGACCCGCACAAGCAGUGGAGCGCCUGGUUUAAUUCGAUGAUCAGCGAAGAACCUCACCUGGGCUUGAACUGUAGCUGCACGCCUCCAGAAAAGGAGGAAGCCUUCGAGGGUGCUAUAGAGGUGGUGCAUGGCUGUCGUCAGCUCGUGUCGUGAGAUGUAGGGUUAAGUCCCACAACGAGCGCAACCCCUACCCGAUGUUAUAAUUACUUCGGGGACUGCCCCGCUUUAACGGGGAGGAAGGAGGGGAUGAUGUCCAGUCAUCAUGUCCCUUAUGUCCAGGGCUACACAGACGCUACAAUGGCUACUACAAUGGGCUGCCAAACCGCGAGGUGGAGCUAAUCCCAUCAAAAGUAGUCUCAGUUCAGAUUGCAGGCUGCAACUCGCCUGCAUGAAGUCGGAAUUGCUAGUAAUCGCGUAUCAGCAUGGCGCGGUGAAUACGUUCUCGGGUCUUGUACACACCGCCCGUCAGGGCAUGGGAGUUGCUCUUGCUCGAAGUUCCUGUUUACCAGGGCCGACAGUAAGGGUGACGACUGGGCUUAAGUCGUAACAAGGUA